Molecule: unclassified non-coding RNA, 317 nt
Filed under: Hevea brasiliensis (rubber tree)
Lineage: Eukaryota; Viridiplantae; Streptophyta; Magnoliopsida; Malpighiales; Euphorbiaceae
Source: RNAcentral
GCCGCUGCCUACGAGUUCAGAUGACAUAAAUUCUGCUGUGGAAGAUAUCAAGCACAUUUCUGAAGCUACGGACCUAGGCAAGAACGAAGGAGAUGAAAUUAUUUCUUCCAAUCCAGAAAGCACGGUGCUAGCAUCCUACAUCAAUGUGAACCCACUCAACACUCAGAUGCCUCCCUCUAAUGUCUUCUCCAGAAAAGAGAUGUCCACAUUUUUCAGAAGUAGGAAGGUUUCACCAGCAGCAUAUUUUACUCAUGAAAGGAAAAGAUUGGAGGUACUUUCUGCUUUAAGAUAUAAGAACAAGAGAGUACCGAAAGCAA